UCUUCAGGCUAAACUGUGUUUUUUUCUUUUAGUUUAAGAGCAACUGAAAGAGAGAAAAAAGAGUUACCAUCGGGAUCGAUUCAUAUUCUUUUAUAUCUGGAAAGAAUUGUAUGUUUCAAGCUAAAUAAUCAAAUCAUCGAUUCAUAUUCAUCCAAAUCUGGAACAUCUUGUUCGAUUUUAGGAAAAAUCAAAUUGACAUCGAUUUUAGGUUUCAAUUUGUAAGCAUUUCUUUUUUGAUUUUUUGUUUUCAUCGUUAAUGAAGCAAUUAGGGUUUACUGCUGGUUAGGGUACAACACUCAUGUUUGUUGGUAGCUGGGUUAAAGAUGAUUCAUUACUAGUCUACGAUGGUUGAUGCUCAAUUCAAUUGUCAAAGGGAAGGUAGACCUAAUUCUGAGUAUCAAAGGUUUCAAUGGAAGCUUAAUGACUGUGAGCUCCCUAGAUUUGAUGGGUGUUUGUUUCUUUACAAGGAUGAGAGGCAAAACACUCAUGUUUGUUGGUGAUUCUCUGGGAUUAUGGAGUGACAUUGUUAUUCUAUAAGGCUCCGUAUGUAGUUGAUAUUGACGCAGGACAAGGGAAGCGGAUACUUUAAUUGGAUGAUAUUUCCAGUAAUGCUGAAGCUUGAAAAGGGACAGAUGUUUUAGUGUUCAAUUCAGGACAUUGGUGGAUUCAUGCCGGAAGACUUCAAGGGUGGGAUUAUAUGGAAUCAGAUGGAUCAUUGCAUAUGCAAUCUUCACCUUGAGCUGUAAAGAUAAAAAAACAAACUUUGCUUAUCUUGUUUAAUUUAAUUAAUGACCACAUAAACUGGAUACUAAUACAGUCAUUUUGAAAAUGAAAAUGAUUAGGGGUUUGAACUGUAUUUGGGGAAGCAUAUUUUUUGUUGGCUAUCAUUUCAUUGUCUCCUGUAACGGUAGAAUUGAUUGACGUUGCCAAAUAGUAGUUUGAGUACUGUCACGUUAUGGCUAAUUAAAGAUAUUAGAGGUUGGAAAAAGAGACGUUC
Long non-coding RNA from Papaver somniferum (opium poppy), 997 nucleotides. RefSeq lists it as uncharacterized. The record is from RefSeq and is a predicted model, not a curated record. Lineage: Eukaryota; Viridiplantae; Streptophyta; Magnoliopsida; Ranunculales; Papaveraceae. The transcript has 3 exons.